UUGAUAUUGACGUGACCCUUCUCUUUGUGAAGGCACAUGGCACUUUGCACUGUGUCAUGAAUCCUUUUGGUUUGGUGGGGUGGGUACCCCCUACCUCUAUUUAUGUGAUAAAAGCUAGGAUUAUACUGAAGGUCCCUUUACCUCAGUAUAAAAUUUGUUUUUGUUUUUUUCAAUUGCCUAAUCUAGGCUGCUUGGAAAAAGUUACAUUGGUGCCGGGAUUCAGCCCUUGCCUGGACAGAGGUGGCCGCUAGAGUCAUCAGCAUGGACACUGGCACCAGUGACUACAUAGGUCCCAGGAUCGUAGCCAGCCACCUCGGGUGCCUCCGGAGACCACUUGAGAAGUGCAGAGACUGUGGGCCAGCCCCUCAUUCUUGUCUGAGACAGUGAUGCCCUCCCCACUCAGUAAUUAUGCACAGCUAGCAGAGGUGGGAGCUGGGUUCUCCCACACCCUGCAGCAAAUCGGAAAUCCCAGGGUGAGGACAGGAGGAUAGAAUUGUUGUGCCAGCUCAGCACCCACUCCUCUUGUGUGCCCAGGCAGGCUGCUGAGAUCCCCCAGCAUUCUGGGCUGGGCAAGAACUCAGAUUUCCACCUGAGGUUGGAGAAGCUUCAGAGUUCAGCCCCUGACCAGCAGAGUCCUGGGAGAGAGGGCAGUGCUAGCAGAUAAAAUCUCAGCCAAUGGGGCUGUGCAGGUGGCCCCAAGGCCUCCAGCUCCACAGAUAAGAAUCAGAAGCACAGCCAUCUCAAUUAGAAAGCAAUUUGAGUUAUCACGCUAAUUAAAGGGGUGUGCAGGCACAAGACCUGACUAGAUCUAGAUCCCUAACGUUAACAAAAAUCAGAUGGUUGAGAAUAAGAAUUUCACAUAAAUAGAAAUGUGAAAGUACGAUGUGCAACUGAGAAGUUGCCAUGAUUUUUUCUUUUCAGGCUGUUGCUCUGAAAUGAAUGGCUUCAUUUAAUCACAAAAGAAGGAAUACCAGCAAGACCACCCAGGCCCCAGCUCCGGUUUUUCCUGAAGAAUUUGGCCGCAUCUCCCUUUUUGAAGGCAGAGUUUCAUCUUGAGCCUGGUGUUGGGACUCUGGCUCCUGGAUGGCGUCAAACCUGCCCUUGGGCUUGGCCGAGGCUGGUCUGGGAGUACCAUUUGCAAAUGGCUCUUGCUUCACGGUUGCAUCUCCAUCUGGGUAAACAACCUAGCGACAGCGCUGGCUCUUCUUAAGGCUGUCUGUUAUGGACUGAACUGUGUCCCUCUCAGAUUCACUUGUUAAAGUCCUGACCCCAGUACACCUCAGAAUGUGACUGUAUAUAGAAAUAGGGCAUGUAAAGCAGUCAUGACGGUUAAGUAAGGUCAUAUGGAUUGGCUCUAGUUCAAACGUGACUGGUAUCCUUCUAAGAAGAGGAAGAGACACCAGAGCUCACUCUCUUUCCACGCACACAAUGGCCAUGUGAGCACACUGUGAGAAGAUGCCAUCCGCAAGCCAAGAAGAGAGGCCUUGGGAGAAACCAAACCUGCUGUCACCUUGAUCUUGGACUUCCAGCCUCAAGAACUGUGAGAAAAUAAAUUUCUGCUGUUUAUUCCACCCAAUUUGUGGCAUUUUGUUAUGGCAGCCCAAGCCAACUAAGAUACCAUCCAUGUAAUUUCUUCUUGUAUGGCAAGGUCUUAACAUGAGACAUGAAUGAAUCAAUGGCCAUUUCUAUGCAGAAAUUUAAAAGCAUUCUUGAGUUCUCAUGGGGAGAUUUAAAUUCUCCAUAUAUGAACCCCUCUAGCCUGUACUUUCUUAUAGGAAAAUUCUCUGUGAGAUUGGAAUAUUCCAGAAGUUAACCAAAAGGAUCUUAAUUUACACUCUAUCUCCUAUUCCUCACAUUCCUAGUACUGUUAAUUACUCUCCUUCCUCAACCUCUGCUCCAUCCCUUUGGCAAGCCCAUGCAUUUAGUAGAUGUUUAUUGAGUGCUUCUCUAGGCCAGCUUAGGCUUUAGGCACUGGAGGUACGGGAAUGAAGAAAACAGAUAAGGCACGUGCUCUCACGUGGCUUCCAUCCUAGCAGAGGAAAACAGAAAUAAAAAUAAAUAAAUAAAUAAAUAAGGACUAUGUCAGAUAGUGAAAAGCUAUUCAGGAAUUUUAAAUACAGCAAUGCAAGAAUGACUGAGAGCCUGCUUUGGUUAGGCAGACAGGAACUCUGUCCUUUCCAACUAAAAACCAUUCUACUCCCUCUUCUCUUCUUUCCAUCAGCAUAACUACCCCUUGAGUGCAAGCUCCUGGGCUGGGCUCCUGCAAAAGCAUUCUAAUUGACCUCUCUGCCACCUCCUUUGCACCACUGCAGUUCAUUUUCCACAUAGCAGCUAGGGAAAUAUGUAAAAAACAAAGCUGGUUUUCAUUAUUCACAAUAGCUGUGUUCUAUAAAGUUGCUUCAAACCCUGAAUUCUGGAAUACUGAAGCAUUGCUC
This 2435-nucleotide long non-coding RNA is filed under the name Homo sapiens (human). RNAcentral describes it as "HSALNT0024205". The record is from RNAcentral. Lineage: Eukaryota; Metazoa; Chordata; Mammalia; Primates; Hominidae.